This 504-nucleotide ribosomal RNA is filed under the name Amoebophrya sp. ex Ceratium lineatum. RNAcentral describes it as "SSU rRNA". It matches the Rfam family "Eukaryotic small subunit ribosomal RNA", at positions 61 to 568 of the family's 1831-position model. The record is from RNAcentral. Lineage: Eukaryota; Dinophyceae; Syndiniales; Amoebophryaceae.
CAGUAUAAGUCUUAGCACGGCGAAACUGCGAAUGGCUCAUUAAAACAGUUAUAGUUUAUUUGAUGGUCAAGUUGUUAUAUGGAUAACUGUGGUAAUUCUAGAGCUAAUACAUGCGUACUAACCCGACUUUUUGGAAGGGUUGUAUUUAUUAGAUACAGAACCAAUGCGCCUCGGCGUCUUUUGGAUGAUUCAUAAUAAACGAACGGAGCACAUGGCUCGUGCCGGUGCUGUAUCAUUCAAGUUUCUGACCUAUCACCUUUCGACGGUGGGGUAUUGGCCCACCGUGGGUUUGACGGGUAACGGAGAAUUAGGGUUCGAUUCCGGAGAGGGAGCCCGAGAAACGGCUACCACAUCUAAGGAAGGCAGCAGGAGCGCAAAUUACCCAAUCCUGACACAGGGAGGUAGUGACAAGAAAUAACAAAGCAAGGCCUCACAGGCUUUUGCUAUUGGAAUGAGUAAAUUUAAUCUCUUUUCGACUAUCAAUUGGAGGGCAAGUCUGUAGAG